Molecule: transfer RNA, 73 nt
Filed under: Felis catus (domestic cat)
Lineage: Eukaryota; Metazoa; Chordata; Mammalia; Carnivora; Felidae
Rfam family: tRNA
About the family: Transfer RNA (tRNA) molecules are approximately 80 nucleotides in length. Their secondary structure includes four short double-helical elements and three loops (D, anti-codon, and T loops). Further hydrogen bonds mediate the characteristic L-shaped molecular structure. tRNAs have two regions of fundamental functional importance: the anti-codon, which is responsible for specific mRNA codon recognition, and the 3' end, to which the tRNAs corresponding amino acid is attached (by aminoacyl-tRNA synthetases). tRNAs cope with the degeneracy of the genetic code in two manners: having more than one tRNA (with a specific anti-codon) for a particular amino acid; and 'wobble' base-pairing, i.e. permitting non-standard base-pairing at the 3rd anti-codon position.
Source: Rfam by way of RNAcentral
GCCUGGCUGGCUCAAUUGGUGGAGCGUGCGACUCUUGAUCUUGGGGUUGUGGGCUUGAGCCCCACGUUGGGUC